This 1021-nucleotide long non-coding RNA is filed under the name Numida meleagris (helmeted guineafowl). Its description in RNAcentral is "lncRNA (ENSNMEG00000011876.1)". Lineage: Eukaryota; Metazoa; Chordata; Aves; Galliformes; Numididae. The record is from RNAcentral.
CAUAUCACUUGUAAGGGUGGCCAUUUGUGACACAGUCCAAAUGCAAAGCAAAUCAUCACCCGAAUGCUUGCCGAAGAGUCUGCCCUGUGCGCACAGGAGUGCAGGGAACCUUGACAUCAGUUGAAACUGCAGCCUACACAUAUGAGAACAGCUCCAGAGCAGGAAAGCCACAGCUCUCAUCUUCUGGUUCAACGUGCUGUGGAGCCCUGUGCCUACGUGUGUGCACAUUUGUUUCAGUCAGACCCUGCCUGAAGAAGAUUACAGCAGCAAAAGCCCAGACAAAGACAAGAAAUAAGAGCCAUCAUGCUCUCUGACUGCCACCAGUUGGCUCAGGCCUCUCUCAAAGUGGGGUGAUUCCAUGUCCAGGAAAGGACCCAGCAGUCUUCCAAAGAGAAUUCUGAUGGAUAAUGGCACAGCAAUGGAUUUUGACUUUUUUCAACGAUUUGACACUGGUGACCACCACAUGAUAUUUGAAUAUUAGGAAAAACUUAUUCUCUGAAGGAGUGGUGAUGCGCUAGAACAGGCUGCCCAGAGAGGUGGUGGAGCCACCAUCCUUGGAGGUGUUCAAGAAUCUUGCAGAUGCAAUACUUAGGGACGUGGUUGGUGGGUAACAUUGGUGGUAGGUGGACGAUUGGACUAGAUGAUCUUAGGGGUCUUUUCCAACCUUAAUGGUUCUAUGCUUUUAUUAUUCUAUGGUUUGGGACCAUUAGUAGGACUCACAACAGAUUUGUAUUUGUGGAAUUCAUUGCUCACGCCUGUGCUUUGUUCAUGCUGUUAAUUUCUCCUGCCCACUUGCAGAGCCUGGUGGCUGUCUUUCUUGAAUCACACACUGUUUUACAGGGCCACAUUUCCAGUUAGCCAUUUCAAAUUCUAACACUGCCUUCGAGGCACGUGUAGAUCUCCUUCCAGCUCACUGCCAUCUGCAGAUAUAAUUCCCUAGUGCAUCCACCAAGCUGAUAAUGAAAACAUGGGAUUAUAGGAGACCCGGAGUACCCACUCAAUAAAUCUUUACAGUCUGACA